UUUGAAUAAUAAGCCGAAUGCUUAAAAAUCCAUAAUUUUAUUAGUUCGAAUGUCGGAUUUAAACUCCAUGCGAUGGAGAAUCAAAUUUCGAGCGUAUAGGAAAAAGAAUCAGGUUUCAGCAACAAAACUGCUGGAAAAUCAUCUCCCCCGCAGCACGCGAUAGGGAGCAGUAAUCCUGGCACGACACGUGAGGGUGCUGGCGGCACGCGAAAGAUCA
RNAcentral lists this long non-coding RNA (217 nucleotides) under Helianthus annuus (common sunflower). RNAcentral's name for it is "hypothetical non coding rna". Lineage: Eukaryota; Viridiplantae; Streptophyta; Magnoliopsida; Asterales; Asteraceae. The record is from RNAcentral.